UACAGAGGUCCCAAGCGUUGUUCGGAUUCACUGGGCGUAAAGGGUGCGUAGGCGGUCGCAUAAGUCUGAUGUGAAAUCUCGGAGCUCAACUCCGAAACGGCAUUGGAUACUGUGCGGCUUGAGGUUGGGAGGGGGGACUGGAAUUCUCGGUGUAGCAGUGAAAUGCGUAGAUAUCGAGAGGAACACCAGUGGCGAAGGCGAGUCCCUGGACCAAUCCUGACGCUGAGGCACGAAAGCCAGGGGAGCAAACGGG
This 253-nucleotide ribosomal RNA is filed under the name uncultured bacterium. RNAcentral's name for it is "partial 16S ribosomal RNA". It matches the Rfam family "Bacterial small subunit ribosomal RNA", at positions 524 to 776 of the family's 1533-position model. The record is from RNAcentral.